UCCGGUUUGUCACCGGCAGUCUCCUUAGAGUUCCCACCAUUACGUGCUGGCAACUAAGGACAAGGGUUGCGCUCGUUGCGGGACUUAACCCAACAUCUCACGACACGAGCUGACGACAGCCAUGCAGCACCUGUCACUCAUCCAGCCGAACUGAAGGAAGCCAUCUCUGGAAUCCGCGAUGAGGAUGUCAAACGCUGGUAAGGUUCUGCGCGUUGCUUCGAAUUGAACCACAUACUCCACCGCUUGUGCGGGCCCCCGUCAAUUCCUUUGAGUUUCAGCCUUGCGGCCGUACUCCCCAGGCGGGGCACUUAAUGCGUUAGCGCCGGCACCCAGGGGGUCGCUCCCCCAGGCACCUAGUGCCCAUCGUUUACGGCGUGGACUAC
RNAcentral lists this unclassified non-coding RNA (383 nucleotides) under uncultured bacterium. Its description in RNAcentral is "contains 16S-23S intergenic spacer region". The record is from RNAcentral.